Molecule: transfer RNA, 73 nt
Filed under: Felis catus (domestic cat)
Lineage: Eukaryota; Metazoa; Chordata; Mammalia; Carnivora; Felidae
Rfam family: tRNA
About the family: Transfer RNA (tRNA) molecules are approximately 80 nucleotides in length.
Source: Rfam by way of RNAcentral
GCCUGGCUGGCCCAGUCGGCAGAGCAUGUGACUCUGAAUCAGGGGGUUGUGAGUUUAAGCCCCAUGUUGGGCA